UACAGAGGGGGCAAGCGUUGUUCGGAAUUACUGGGCGUAAAGGGCGCGUAGGCGGCCUUCUAAGUCGAACGUGAAAUCCCCGGGCUCAACCCGGGAACUGCGUCCGAUACUGGAAGGCUUGAAUCCGGGAGAGGGAUGUGGAAUUCCAGGUGUAGCGGUGAAAUGCGUAGAUAUCUGGAGGAACACCGGUGGCGAAGGCGACAUCCUGGACCGGAAUUGACGCUGAGGCGCGAAAGCCAGGGGAGCAAACGGG
RNAcentral lists this ribosomal RNA (253 nucleotides) under uncultured bacterium. RNAcentral describes it as "partial 16S ribosomal RNA". It matches the Rfam family "Bacterial small subunit ribosomal RNA", at positions 524 to 776 of the family's 1533-position model. The record is from RNAcentral.